AACGAACGCUGGCGGCAUGCCUAACACAUGCAAGUCGAACGAAACCUUCGGGUCUAGUGGUGCACGGGUGCGUAACGCGUGGGAACCUGCCUUUAAGUUUGGAAUAACGCGCCGAAAGGGGUGCUAAUACCGGAUCAUAUCUUGCGUCCAAAGAGUUAUCGCCUGUGGAUGGUCUUGCGUUGGAUGAGCUAGAGGGUAGGGUAAAGCGCUACCAAGGCGACGAUCCAUAACUGGCCUGCGAGGAGGAUCAGCCACACUGGAACUGAGACAUGGUCGAGACUCGGACGGGAGGCAGCAGUGGGGAAGAUUGGACAAUGGGCGAAAGACUGAUCCAGCCAUGCCGCGUGGGUGAAGAAGGUCUUCGGAUUGUAAAGAACUUUAAGUUGGGAGGAAGGGAAGUAAGUUAAUACCUUGCUGUUUUGACGUUACCAACAGAAUAAGCACCGGCUAACUUCGUG
Molecule: ribosomal RNA, 458 nt
Filed under: uncultured bacterium
Lineage: Bacteria
Description: partial 16S ribosomal RNA
Rfam family: Bacterial small subunit ribosomal RNA
Source: RNAcentral